UACGAAGGGGGCUAGCGUUGUUCGGAAUUACUGGGCGUAAAGCGCGCGCAGGCGGCUAUCCAAGUCAGUGGUGAAAGCCCGGAGCUCAACUCCGGAACUGCCAUUGAAACUGUUUAGCUUGAGGAUGAGAGAGGUGAGUGGAAUUCCCAGUGUAGAGGUGAAAUUCGUAGAUACUGGGAAGAACACCGGUGGCGAAGGCGGCUCACUGGCUCAUUACUGACGCUCAGGCGCGAUAGCGUGGGGAUCAAACAGG
Molecule: ribosomal RNA, 253 nt
Filed under: uncultured bacterium
Lineage: Bacteria
Description: partial 16S ribosomal RNA
Rfam family: Bacterial small subunit ribosomal RNA
Source: RNAcentral